RNAcentral lists this ribosomal RNA (497 nucleotides) under uncultured bacterium. RNAcentral describes it as "partial 16S ribosomal RNA". It matches the Rfam family "Bacterial small subunit ribosomal RNA", at positions 28 to 507 of the family's 1533-position model. The record is from RNAcentral.
GACGAACGCUGGCGGCGUGCCUAAUACAUGCAAGUUGAGCGCUGAAGGUUGGUACUUGUACCAACUGGAUGAGCAGCGAACGGGUUAGUAACGCGUGGUGAAUCUGCCUUUGAUCGGGGGACAACAUUUGGAAACGAAUGCUAAUACCGCAUAAAAACUUUAAACACAAGUUUUAAGUUUGAAAGAUGCAAUUGCAUCACUCAAAGAUUCUCCCGCGUUGUAUUAGCUAGUUGGUGAGGUAAAGGCUCACCAAGGCGAUGAUACAUAGCCGACCUGAGAGGGUGAUCGGACACAUUGGGACUGAGACACGGCCCAAACUCCUACGGGAGGCAGCAAUAGGGAAUCUUCGGCAAUGGACGAAAGUCUGACCGAGCAACGCCGCGUGAGUGAAGAAGGUUUUAGGAUCGUAAAACUCUGUUGGUAGAGAAGAACGUUGGUGAGAGUGGAAAGCUCAUCAAGUGACGGUAACUACCCAGAAAGGGACGGCUAACUACGUG